GUAUUUGAUUCAGGAUGAUUUCGGUCAUUAUUUUUUCUUCUUUCAAAUUUUGUUCAAAAUAUUCUGGGAAUCGUGAGUAUUGCGAGUUCAACUGAACUGUAACUGGAGUGUGCCAAUUCAAAACACACAAAUAGGUGGAUGGAUGGAAACCCCAAACAAGCGUGCACAUGAAGUGGAUCUUAAUUUAAUUCCAUCAUCGCCAGUGUUUCUGUCUUCAUAAUACCCAUCUCUAGUUGGCACGAGCUACUGCAACAUCACAGCCUUGACAAAGAAUCAAUAUGUGUAGAAAAGCUGUCAGAAAGAAUUUGGACAACAUGACAAAGUGCUAAAAUGAUCCAAUACCUCAAGAACCUCAAGAGAGAAGUGUUACGGUAGAAACUGACUGCAGGAAGAAAUAAAGGAACAUGAUGUGCGUGUGUGUGUGCGCGUGUGGGCUAAAGCGUGAGGAAAGUCUCGUCUCUUUACCCAGAUGGCUUCCUUUGUGUGUGUAGUGUCUAUUCUGAUAAAUAGUGUGAGGGCAAACGUCUGUCACCAGGCUCGAGGCCCCUUCAUUUCUUCUCUCAUUCCACCCCUAUGCUCAUCUCCUCCCUAUUACAUUCUUCUGUCGUUUAUUCACUUUAUGGGAUUAUCGAGGCACUUCUCUCCCGCCUGCGAUUCAUUACACCCCUAACUGCUCACUUAGGUUUAUGCCCCUUUAAAUCCCCCUCCAGAUAGCCAACCAGCCACGGUAAACAGGGACGGCAAGAAACAACGGAGUGGGGGUAGGGGGGAGUCAUCAGAGAGAAAAUUAAGAGAUGUCACGCAGCGGUGAACGUGGCAGUGACGAGAAGCGGUUAGUCGCCAUUUUUAACACGGCUGCCCUCUUUCUAGUCAUUAGUAAUUCAAUUUGGUCUUUAUUAGCCACGCUUAUCUGCUGCGCAGAGUCCCUCUGGCUAGCCCAUAUGAUUCCCCUUCACUCCUCCUCCAGCCCUCUUUAGUCAUUCAUACACUCCUUCACAUUCACACGUCUCAUUCACCU
Long non-coding RNA from Ictalurus punctatus (channel catfish), 1018 nucleotides. NCBI's taxonomy places the organism in Eukaryota, Metazoa, Chordata, Actinopteri, Siluriformes, Ictaluridae. The record is from Ensembl.